RNAcentral lists this ribosomal RNA (736 nucleotides) under uncultured bacterium. Its description in RNAcentral is "bacterial SSU rRNA". It matches the Rfam family "Bacterial small subunit ribosomal RNA", at positions 767 to 1500 of the family's 1533-position model. The record is from RNAcentral.
CGCGAAUUCGCCCUUAUUAGAUACCCUGGGUAGUCCACGCUGUAAACGAUGGAUACUAGGUGUGCGGGGACUGACCCCCUCCGUGCCGCAGCUAACGCAAUAAGUAUCCCACCUGGGGAGUACGAUCGCAAGGUUGAAACUCAAAGGAAUUGACGGGGGCCCGCACAAGCGGUGGAGUAUGUGGUUUAAUUCGACGCAACGCGAAGAACCUUACCAGGGCUUGACAUCCAACUAACGAAGCAGAGAUGCAUUAGGUGCCCUUCGGGGAAAGUUGAGACAGGUGGUGCAUGGUUGUCGUCAGCUCGUGUCGUGAGAUGUUGGGUUAAGUCCCGCAACGAGCGCAACCCUUAUUGUUAGUUGCUACGCAAGAGCACUCUAGCGAGACUGCCGUUGACAAAACGGAGGAAGGUGGGGACGACGUCAAAUCAUCAUGCCCCUUAUGUCCUGGGCCACACACGUACUACAAUGGCGGUCAACAGAGGGAGGCAAAGCCGCGAGGCAGAGCAAAUCCCUAAAAGCCGUCCCAGUUCGGAUUGCAGGCUGAAACCCGCCUGUAUGAAGUUGGAAUCCCUAGUAAUCGCGGAUCAGCAUGCCGCGGUGAAUACGUUCCCGGGCCUUGUACACACCGCCCGUCACACCAUGAGAGUCGGGGACACCCGAAGUCCGUAGUCUAACCGCAAGGGGGACGCGGCCGAAGGUGGGUUCGAUAAUUGGGGUGAAGUCGUAACAAGGUACC